This is a long non-coding RNA of Crotalus tigris (Tiger rattlesnake), 3454 nucleotides long. RefSeq lists it as uncharacterized. The transcript is spliced from 2 exons. Lineage: Eukaryota; Metazoa; Chordata; Lepidosauria; Squamata; Viperidae. The record is from RefSeq and is a predicted model, not a curated record.
CUUACAACCGGUUGAGUAGUCCUCGACUUACGACCGGUUGGGGGGUCGCGGCAUUAAAAAGGUUGAGAACCAAUGGGCUAAAUCUUGAUUAAAUUUAUAUUUUGCAAAUAUUAGCAUAUGCACUAUUGAAAGCGUACCUUUGAAAUACUAGAAAAACCAAGCCAAAAUGCUUUGGUAAGUGAAAGAAAGAUCCCUAAUGGCAUGUCCUUCUCUUGCUUAUUAACAUAUUCCAAAAGGAAUUUUGUCUGCCCAUGUUCCCCAUUCAUGUUUCUAUCAUUUUUGGAAAACAUAUAUAAAUGAGAUUUGUUUGUCUGUUAAUCCUCUUAAUCCUAAUCUGACAGUACCCAAUUCAUUAUCACUCUAGGGCACUUUUAUUUCAUGUGCUGAAAAGCUCAAGGAAAGUUUAUUCAUGGCACUUCAUAAAAGUUUCAGUGGCACCAAAUGCUAUAAGCUUGUGCUGCUAUUUCCAGGCCAUUUUCUAAAAGAAACAGUUGAAGGACAAUUAAAAUUUUAAUUAUAUCUGAAAUAUCCAUUUUAAAAAUUAGAAGAUUCUUAGUCUAUUUCAUCCAUUUCAUUACCAAUAGUGACUCAUCGCAAAUCUCCAAGGUUUCAGGAAGGGCUUUUUCAGCUCUACCUCUGGAGCUUGUAAUCUAAGACUAAUAACAACAUUAACGUAAUUAUAAAGCUAAGAAUUGCCAUCAAAGUCCACCCUAACCAUUUUGCAUCAUUAGCCUAUCCCUUUGGCUAUCAAAGCUUCCUUCCAGAUUGCCCUUCCAUAUUCUAGUCUAUGUCAUAUUGUAAUCAUGCAGCUAUAUUCAUGAUAUAGUCCAGUUUAUGGAGUAAUAAACUAAUUUACAAUAUAAUAUACAAUCUCCAUGUAUUCACAGGAAUAUUCCAGAAAUAAGAGUGAAAGUAUUAAUGCAAUUUGGAAUGUGUUGUACUUGCCAGAGACAAAGGUCUCAAUAGCUAAACAUAUCCAUCAUAAAAGUGAUUAAAAAUAAAUUUUUGAAGGAAAAAUAACAUCAGUAGGAAGAAUGUGCAUUAUGUUCAAGAAUGAGAUAAUCAUUGUACCGGUGGAAUAUAUAAUGGGUAUAUAGAUCUAACCCAAUAUUUUUUUUAAAUGUACAAAGUGGCAGUCCUAAAUGCUAUUGCAAAUUCAGGCCAGGCUACAAUGCUGAAAUGGAGAGAGCUGUCUAGAUGUACAAGCCUUUCCAUUAACUAUAGUCCUUUCAAAGCUCUUCUUUUCUUAAUUUCCUCAUGACUUUGUUGAAAAAUCCAAGUUAAUUAACUGCUCUCCUUAUGCACUAUCUGAAACUUUUCCAGUAGCCUGUUUAUCCUCAACAUUUCUCAUAGGUGCUUAGUAUUCCCUUCCAUGGAAGCAAUUAGUAGCAAAGCAUCUGGACCCUUUUCAGAUGAACUAGUCAUCAUUAAUACAUUGAUUAGAUAUUGUCUCAAACAAUAAGAAAGGUGCUGUACGUUUGGAACAGUACUAAAGAUGCACAUUUCAUGGAUAAACUAGAACACAGUUUUACCUGAAGCUGAACAAAAUUCAAAAAUGUAUAAAAUUAUAAUCCAGCAUUCCUUAGACAUGGCCACCCAAAUAAAUUAAUGCAAUUAAAUAUAUCUGUUAUUAUUUGGCUGUGCUCACAAACCCAGUUAAAUAUACACAUUGGCUUUUCUAUUCUUACAGUAGAUUGUGUCAUGUUUGUCUUUUGUGUUUUUUGGAAGGACAAAAAACUGAAGCUGAAAUACUAAUACUUUGGCCGCUUAAUGAGAAGAGAGCACUCAUUGGAAAAAACUGAUUUUGAGAAAGGUUGAAAGCAAAAGAAGAAAGGAAUGGCAGAGGAUGACGUGGUUAGGUAGUGUCAUUGAUGCAAUGAACAUGAAUUUGGGAAACUGGGAGACAGUGCAGGACAAGAAGGCUAAGGUCCAGGGGGUCACAAAGAGUCAGAUAUGACUUAGUGAUUGGAUAAUAACAACAAUCAUUUUACUGAGUAAGCUUCAUAAAGCAUAAAGGACAUGUAUUAUACUUGGCUGUAUAACCAAGAAUUUUGGGUAGCCUUCUCCAACUGCUACCAUCCAGAUAUGUUAAUCUUCAGUUUUAUAAAAUGCUGUUCAGGAUUUGGCAUUAUGGGAAGCUGAAAUCCCAAACACUUAGAAAGUAUUAGAUGAAGAUGUUUCUGUUGAAGCAUGGAUUGUGAAUUAUGUCAUAGUGGAGAUUAAACAAUUGAGUAUAGUUUCUAGUGGAAUGCCCAUAUUCGUUAGUCAAGUAUGCAACUGUAACAGAGGAAGAGGGACUCUGUAAAAUUAGCUCAAUUUAUUUCUUCAGAAUAAUCUGCUUUCUAUGUGAUCCAGAUUUUCUCACUUUUCUUCCUUCAUAAAGAGGUUUGUUUCCUGAGAGAUAAUGACUGGAUACUGUUUAACUUUCUUUAAAGUUUCCCCAUUCUGCAUCAAGUUACCUUUAAAGAAAAUUAAACAGUAUGUCAGUGAAAAUCCAGCAUGGGGGGGGGGAAACCCCGUUUUUUUGAGAUGCCAGACUAGCGUGCAUUCAUGUGCUUCCAAUCCCCUUGCUUGCUGCAAAGUCAGAUUGGAGUCCUCAGGCUGCUGCUGCCAGUCCAUUUCGAGUUGGUCCAAAAGUGAAGGGAAUGGUUCCCACCCCACCGGAUCGCUGCGGGGCUUCGUUUCCAAAAACCCUCUGCACAGGCUUUGGACAAAUUUCAAGACUGAAAAAGAAGCAACCGGAGUGAACAGCUGUUCAAAGGAGGAGGAAGAAGGAGAAAGUGGGAGAAGUCACUACCGAACAGACUGGACUGAAAAGACAAAGCCACCUCAGAAGAAGUCAGCAACAAACUCAUGUUGCUAUGAAAACCACAUGUAUGCCACCAGAGUCAAGUCUGAUUUAAAGAUGUUACCUUUAGAGGGAAUUUCAACCUUUUACGCUGUAAUCUAUAGGACAUCUUAAAAUGGGUUAUGUUAGAACAUUUAUGAUUUACUCAGUUUUUUCUAUAGUAUUUUUGAAUAAAGUGGACAAGUAUCCCAGAUGGAGAGACAAAUCCAUCUUAAAAGUAUUAUAAUUCCUUUCUGCUAUAAUAUUAAUCAAACAUAAACUAGAUAUAAUUUUUAUAACCAUAUGUUUCAGAAUGGGAAAAAUUUGUGAAUGAAUAUCUAAAUUUGGGCAUCCCAAAUCUCAUCAGGAGAAUUUUGCUGUGGACAAUAUAAAAUUAAGAAGAUGGGAUGAUGAAAAGAGCUAUGUAGUCUCAUGGCUGUUCAAAUUUAGAAUUUUAGCUCAGUUGUAAAAUCUGAUAAAAUCUAUCUUCUGCCAUAAAUUUAUACCAUGGUCUGAAACAUAUCCAUUUUAUUCAAUUUCUAGCCAUCUGCAGUGUGAAACUAAUAACUGAUGCAUUUUAUUAAGUUAUGGAAAUAAAUAUUAAAGGCCAGUUGUUUGCUUUCAAAA